RNAcentral lists this ribosomal RNA (503 nucleotides) under uncultured bacterium. Its description in RNAcentral is "bacterial SSU rRNA". It matches the Rfam family "Bacterial small subunit ribosomal RNA", at positions 17 to 509 of the family's 1533-position model. The record is from RNAcentral.
UCCUGGCUCAGGAUGAACGCUAGCUACAGGCUUAACACAUAGCAAGUCGAGGGGCAGCAUAACGAAAGCUUGCUUUUGUUGAUGGCGACCGGCGCACGGGUGAGUAACGCGUAUCCAACCUUCCCUAUACUAGAGGAUAGCCCGGCGAAAAGUCGGAUUAAUACUCUAUGUUCUUCGUAGAAGACAUCUGAAAUGAAGCAAAGGUUUACCGGUAUAGGAUGGGGAUGCGUCUGAUUAGGUUGUUGGCGGGUAACGGCCCACCAAGCCCACGAUCAGUAGGGGUUCUGAGAGGAAGGUCCCCACAUUGGAACUGAGACACGGUCCAAACUCCUACGGGAGGCAGCAGUGAGGAAUAUUGGUCAAUGGACGAGAGUCUGAACCAGCCAAGUAGCGUGCAGGAUGACGGCCCUAUGGGUUGUAAAUUGCUUUUGUACGGGGAUAAAGGAGCCCACGUGUGGACUUUUGCAGGUACCGUACGAAUAAGGACCGGCUAAUUCCGUGCC